AACGAACGCUGGCGGCAUGCCUAACACAUGCAAGUCGAACGAGACCUUCGGGUCUAGUGGCGCACGGGUGCGUAACGCGUGGGAACCUGCCUUUAGGUUCGGAAUAACUCUCCGAAAGGGGUGCUAAUACCGAAUAAUGUCUUCGGACCAAAGAUUUAUCGCCUUUAGAUGGGCCCGCGUUGGAUUAGCUAGUUGGUGGGGUAAUGGCCUACCAAGGCGACGAUCCAUAGCUGGUCUUAGAGGAUGAUCAGCCACACUGGGACUGAGACACGGCCCAGACUCCUACGGGAGGCAGCAGUGGGAAUUUUGCGCAAUGGGCUAACGCCUGACGCAGCAACGCCGCGUGGAGGAUGAAGGUCCUUGGAUUGUAAACUCCUGUCAGCAGGGAAAAAGCAACCUGACCUCAUACGUCAGGAAGUUGAUUUGUACCUGCAGAGGAAGCCCCGGCUAACUCUGUGCCAGCAGCCG
This 468-nucleotide ribosomal RNA is filed under the name uncultured bacterium. RNAcentral describes it as "bacterial SSU rRNA". It matches the Rfam family "Bacterial small subunit ribosomal RNA", at positions 29 to 517 of the family's 1533-position model. The record is from RNAcentral.